RNAcentral lists this ribosomal RNA (425 nucleotides) under uncultured cyanobacterium. RNAcentral describes it as "bacterial SSU rRNA". It matches the Rfam family "Bacterial small subunit ribosomal RNA", at positions 356 to 795 of the family's 1533-position model. The record is from RNAcentral. Lineage: Bacteria; Bacillati; Cyanobacteriota.
GGGGAAUUUUCCGCAAUGGGCGCAAGCCUGACGGAGCAACGCCGCGUGAGGGAGGAAGGCCUGUGGGUUGUAAACCUCUUUUCUCAAGGAAGAACACAAUGACGGUACUUGAGGAAUCAGCAUCGGCUAACUCCGUGCCAGCAGCCGCGGUAAGACGGAGGAUGCAAGCGUUAUCCGGAAUUAUUGGGCGUAAAGCGUCCGUAGGUGGUUAUAAAAGUCUGUUGUUAAAGCCCACAGCUCAACUGUGGAUCGGCAAUGGAAACUGUAUGACUUGAGUGUGGUAGGGGUAGAGAGAAUUCCUAGUGUAGCGGUGAAAUGCGUAGAUAUUAGGAAGAACACCAGUGGCGAAGGCGCUCUACUGGGCCAUAACUGACACUGAUGGACGAAAGCUAGGGGAGCGAAAGGGAUUAGAUACCCCUGUAGUC